GCCAGGUGCUGUGGUGCAUGCCUGUAGUCCCAACUACUUGGGAGGCUGAGCCAGGAAGAUCUUUUGAGGCCAGGAGUUCUGGGCUGUAGUACACUAUGCCAAUCAGGUGCCUGCGCUAAGUUCAGCAUCAAUAUGGUGACCUCCAGGGAGUGGGGGACCACCAGACUGACUAAGAAGGAGUGAACAGGCCCAGAUCAGAAACAGAGCACAUCAAAACUUUCGUGCUGAUCAGUAUUGGGAUCAUGACUGUGAAUAGCUGCUGCACUCCAGCCUGGGUGAUAUGGUCUGGCUGU
This is an unclassified non-coding RNA of Callithrix jacchus (white-tufted-ear marmoset), 293 nucleotides long. It matches the Rfam family "Metazoan signal recognition particle RNA". From Rfam's summary of the family: The signal recognition particle (SRP) is a universally conserved ribonucleoprotein. The record is from Ensembl. NCBI's taxonomy places the organism in Eukaryota, Metazoa, Chordata, Mammalia, Primates, Cebidae.